RNAcentral lists this ribosomal RNA (1455 nucleotides) under Triticum aestivum (bread wheat). RNAcentral describes it as "partial small subunit ribosomal RNA". The record is from RNAcentral. Lineage: Eukaryota; Viridiplantae; Streptophyta; Magnoliopsida; Poales; Poaceae.
AUGGGGAAAGGAAAUCGAGACGAUAUGCUCAGCAACUUGCCUGACGACAUUUUGGUUAAUAUUCUUGAUAGACUCGAUGUCACAUACGCUGUCAGAACCAGCAUCCUCUCCAGACGGUGGAGUCGGCUUUCUACCAAGCUUUCUCGACUGACAAUAAGUGUUUUGGACUUCCUGCCUCACAAUGGGCCCAUAUUUGAAAUUGAUGAAGUGGUUCGGAGCAAUGCAGCUGUGGUUGAAGCAACCACGAGCAUCCUGGCACACAGGGAUUCUACCCGAAAAACCAUCCACCUACUGUCGAUGACUUUCUUCUUAAAAGACAGUGACCACAUAUCCAUUGGACAUGCUGUUGCCAAGACCAUGGCGACACACAAGGUUGAGAUGGCUGAAUUCAACAUUAUGACAGAGAGGGAUGCCACUCAGUGUGACGAUGAUAAUCUAGCCAGUUAUGGGAAGAAGUUCAUCUUAUUCUUUGAUGCUUUCCCAGAUGCAUUUGGUGGUCUCACACGCCUGCACCUUGAAAAUUUGAGAUUCGGUGAAUCGGACAUCACUAAUGUACUCAUCGUUUGUAAGCGAUUAAAGGAUCUACGUCUGAUGAAUUGUGAUUCUGGGGAAACGACCACACUGCAAGUAGAUCACUCCCAACUCAGUGACCUCACCAUCGGUGAUUGCCUUUUUGCAGAACUGCUGCUGAACUCUGUUCCAAAACUCACACGGUUGGCCUUUGAGGGUUGGAUCUCUUUUCAUUAUCCACUUUCAGUUGGCGAUGCCCCAUUACUUGAGGCCGUCAAACUCAAUAAUGUUGCUCUCAGUUGGCACAAGAUGGUUGAGUUAAGUAAGUUUCUUUGUGGUACCUCUGUGCGUGACCUGAAGUUGGGAUUUAAAUGUGAAAAAAUCUGGGUCCAACCAGAGUGCUUGACGAAAAGCCUGGCAUCUGUUUUUCGCCAACUAAGGUUUGUGAAUCUAGAUGAAAUUCCUGAAGGGUAUGAUCUGACCUGGACACUGUUCAUCCUUAAAGCUGCACCCCUCCUAAAGGAGCUAUACAUAACGGUGUGGGACCAUCUUUGUAAAAUGGUAACAGAUGAGGAGAAGAGGAAGGAACGCUUUAGCGAGGAGAAGGGUGUAGAGUGGGAAUCAUCUGCUUCUGACUUCCAUCAUGAGAAUCUGGUUACGCUUGUCAUGUUUGGCUUCCAAUCUGAAGAGUACAUGGUGAGCUAUAUCAGGCGUGUAAUGGAAGCAGCGGCGAAUCUGGAGGAGGUGUUCCUGUAUCAUAGGCUGGCUUGUAGGAAGUGCCUUGACAAUUCUCGAAAGCAGCCAUUCAAGUUCCCGUGGACCAAGAGGCAGAGAUUGUCAGUGAAGAAGAGAAUUACUGACGGGAUAGACUCGUUUGCCAUAAUUCAUUUCCCUACGACUGCUGGAUUAAGGUCUGACCAUAAGGCCAAAAAGAACUAUCCGUAG